GAGUUUUAUAUUGGUUUUCAAAGGUACUUAUAUAGGUAAGUGAGCGCGUGAGAGCUGAGCAUUUAUUUUAUCUAAGUAUAACGCUAGUCAAGAUUUGCGAGAGCUGAGAUUAGUGUUUUUAAAUCAAAUGUAAUUCUUGAAAACUGGCGACUGUUUUAUUUUCUUAAGCAGUUUUUAAUUAAACGUUGACUAUAAUUCGUCACGAGAGUGAGAAUUAAUUAAAGUAAAAAUCAAUAGAGCGAGAGCGUGAGAUUUCUGCUAGAUAGUAAAAACUGAACAUUAAAUCUAAUUC
RNAcentral lists this long non-coding RNA (292 nucleotides) under Trifolium pratense (red clover). Its description in RNAcentral is "long non-coding RNA (TPRA_LNC003044)". Lineage: Eukaryota; Viridiplantae; Streptophyta; Magnoliopsida; Fabales; Fabaceae. The record is from RNAcentral.